UCCCGUACGAUCACCGAAGUUAAGCAACGUCGAAUCUGGUCAGUAUUUAGAUAGGUGACCGCUUGGGAAUAUCAGAUGCUGUAAG
Acanthosepion pharaonis is the source of this 85-nucleotide non-coding RNA. The record is from the annotation of a GenBank genome assembly. NCBI's taxonomy places the organism in Eukaryota, Metazoa, Mollusca, Cephalopoda, Sepiida, Sepiidae.